RNAcentral lists this long non-coding RNA (207 nucleotides) under Mytilus galloprovincialis (Mediterranean mussel). Lineage: Eukaryota; Metazoa; Mollusca; Bivalvia; Mytilida; Mytilidae. The record is from RNAcentral.
UGCGCUCAGACGGGAAACCAUUUGAAAUCAAAGAUAUUCUAUCAAAACCAAUGAGACAUCUAUCAAGAGCUUUCUAUGAUAAGGGAGAGGAGUUGUAGCCUUCUGAUGAAGAAACUUUCAUGUACCUAAUAUCAGAAGAUAUUUCUGGAAAACUUAAAGCUAGGUACUUUCAUUUAAAAAUGUCAUGAUGGACAUCUGAGAAAAACG